CCGGUAUAGGAUGUUUAGAGGAAGUUGCAGUAAGAUAAGUGUGUCCUUUACAUACUGUAUCUUUCAGACCUUAGCAGUCUGCUGACUCCAGCUUUCAGCAGAGCAGAAACAAUGCUUUGGGAAGACUUAAAACAACUUUGAAUAAGAACCUGCUUGAGAAAGAUUUGCCUUACAAGCUAAAUGUUACAUUUCCACUCAACAGAAAGGUACUGCUGUGUGGCCGUAAAAAGCCGGCCAAAACCCUGUAACCUUUGCAGUUAGUCAUGUUAUUUUUGGUUCAUGCCAACAUGGAUCACAGCUGUGACUCAACAGAGCCACUGAAGCAAGAAUUCAAAGAGUUUAAAGAACAGCAAACUCAGAAAUGACUUUUUUUUUUCUUAUGGUGUCAUUACGCAACAUUUCUUGCAGUUUACCUUUUCUAAUUUACCAACUCCGUACAGAUGAGCUCAGUCGGUGUUUGGCAAAUGAAAACCUGAGCUGCGUCAGCACACUUCCCCAAAUCCCACUGCAGGCGGAGGGUGAUGGAGCUUUCCCUUCUGGGAUGUUUGUUUUACUGAGAAGAUGGCGGUCUGUGAACCAGGAAGCAGGUCCUUGCCAGACACCGAGGCCUCCGCUUGUGCCCUGAUCUUGGACCUCCCACCCUCCAGAACUGUGAGUUUCUGUUGUUUAUAAACCACCCAAGUCUAGGAUAUUUUGUUUUUUGUUUGUUUGUUUGUUUUGAGAUGGAGUUUCCCUCUUGUUGCCCAGGCUGGAGUGUAAUGGCACAAUCUCCGCUCACUGCAACCUCCGCCCCUUGGGUUCAAGCAAUUCUCCUGCCUCAGCCUCCCCAGUAGCUGGGAUUACAGGCCCCUGCCACCACGCCUAGCUAUUUUUUUUUUUUUUGUACUUUGAGUAGAGACAGGGUUUCACCAUGUUGGCCAGGCUGGUCUCAAACUCCUGACCUCAGGCGGUCCACCCGCCUCAGCCUCCCAAAGUACUGGGAUUACAGGUGUGAGCCACAACACUCGGCUUUGGGAUAUUUUGUUAUAGCAGCCUGAACAGACUAAAGACGGGGUAUACACAGGGCAGGGAAUUGAAGGAAAGUGUUUUGUCAUUGUUUUUGUUUUUGUUUUUGUUUUGAGAUGAGGUCUCGCUCUGUUGCUCAGACUGGAGUACAAUGGCACCAUCAUGGCUCACUGCAGCCUCAACCUCCAGGACUCAUGUGAUUCUCCCACCUUAGCCUCCUGAGUAGCUGGGAACACAGGUGUGUGCCACCACACCUGGCUAAGUUUUUGGUUUUAUUUAUUUUUUGUAGAGACGGGGUCUCCCUGUGUUGCCCAGCCUGACUUUGAACUCCUGGGCUUAAGCUGUCCUCCCACCUCAGCCUCCUAAAGUGUUGGGAUUACAGGCCUGAGCCACCAUGCUUGGCCUGAAGAGACGAUCUUGAAAGUGGAGCAUACUAAAGUAUCUGCGCACACUAAUGAAAGUCAUUCAUCAGUGAAAGAGAGAUUGAUGAUGGUGGUGGUAGGUAAGAGAAAGAAUCUCACAGACAUACACUGUCAGCUAAUCAAAGAAGGAAAGCCGUGGGCAGUCACAAGAACAUGUGGCCAGAAUGCAUGCGGAGCAUUUUAUACUGUUUCAUGCUGCUCCUGGGAUAAGAGAGACACUUCCGUUGUGGUAACAAGAGGGAAAGGCGGAGAAGAUGGGUUUACAGAUUUGGUUUGGGAGGAUGAAGACAUUUCAUUCUAAUUGGUGGUUUUUUUCUCCUCCUUUAGGAAGCAUGAAGUGGGGUCAGAGUGAAGGGCAAGAGGAGAGCUGGGGUUGGGCAGACUGAGGCUGUCUGGAGAGAUGAUAUGGCCUUAGUGUGGAGACGAAGAGAAAGCUUGCUAGGCAGUGUCCUUGGAAAUGGGUGAGGAUGAUCUUGACACGAGUCCCCGUGCUGGGUAUUUUUCCUCAGCAGCAUUUAGCUGUGCAGUGUGUGGGGUUCAUCUAGUUUUGGAAGACUGUUGGAAGAGUUAUUGGUUGAUUCAGAUGAUUAAUAACUGAGUUGGGCAUGCUUUCCAAAAUACUUACGAUUUCUAUCAAAAUAUUCAAAGUGAAUAUGAUGUCACAAGGGGAACCCCUGAAAUCCAUGGCACUUCCACAGCACUGACACGGCCUUCCCAGCUUCUGUAUUUCUUUUGUUGGCAGCAAAGGCAGAGAUGGAGACAAAGAACUGGAAUUUAGACAUUGGAGAUUUCGUUUCUGGCUGCUACAUUCCAGUGCAGUGUUACAUAGUUCAGAAGGCUGGUAAGUAAAGUACAGUGAGUCCCAUGACCAGUUUAGAAGUGUGCCUCUCUGGAACUCACCGUCAUCUCAGAGCACAGAACUGCAGGAAGCUCACGGAGUCACUUUCAGGUCACUUCUCGGAGUUAAAGUGGAACCAUCUGUCCACCCCUUGCCCACACACCUUCCUUCCUUGACCCUGUACCCCUCCGGUUUUCUUAUCUCUUUCUUUCCUUCACAGCAGGCCUUCUACUUCUUCGGCCUCUCUUUCUUCCCUUUCCGUGAACUCUUCGGCGCCUUAAAUGCCAGCAUCUACCUCUCUGCAGCUGCACUCCCCAGGCUCUCAAAUGACCUUCUGGUGGCUAUAGCCGGUGGAAACUCUCCAACUGCCAUCUUACUUGAUUUGUCCUGUAUUAUUUCCACUGUGCUGUCUCCUGCUUAGUGAAUUCUAUGGGCUUAUUCUCUCCUUAGUUUCCC
This 2721-nucleotide long non-coding RNA is filed under the name Papio anubis (olive baboon). RNAcentral describes it as "lncRNA (ENSPANG00000047100.1)". The record is from RNAcentral. Lineage: Eukaryota; Metazoa; Chordata; Mammalia; Primates; Cercopithecidae.